RNAcentral lists this microRNA precursor (209 nucleotides) under Oryza sativa Japonica Group (Japanese rice). RNAcentral's name for it is "MIR812 microRNA precursor family". It matches the Rfam family "MIR812 microRNA precursor family". The record is from Rfam by way of RNAcentral. Lineage: Eukaryota; Viridiplantae; Streptophyta; Magnoliopsida; Poales; Poaceae.
AAUAAGUGCAGUUUUGCACUAUUCACAUUCAACGUUUGACCGUCCGUCUUAUUUAAAAAUUUUUUAUGAUUAGUAUUUUUAUUGCUAUUAGAUGAUAAAACAUGAAUAGUACUUUAUGUGUGACUAAAUGUUUUUAAUUUUUUCACAAAUUUUUCAAAUAAGACGGACGGUCAAACGUUGAACGUGAAUAGUGCAAAACUGCACUUAUU